AGAGUUUGAUCAUGGCUCAGAAUGAACGCUGGCGGCGUGCUUAACACAUGCAAGUCGAACGAUGAAGCCUAGCUUGCUAGGUGGAUUAGUGGCGCACGGGUGAGUAAUAUAUAGAUAAUGUGCCUCUUAGUCUGGGAUAGCCAUUGGAAACGAUGAUUAAUACUAGAUACUCCUUCUGAUUAUAAUUUCAGUCGGGAAAGUUUUUCGCUAAGAGAUCAGUCUAUAUCCCAUCAGUUAGUUGGUAGGGUAAUGGCCUACCAAGGCAAUGACGGGUAGCGGGUUUGAGAGGAUGAUCCGCCACACUGGUACUGAGACACGGACCAGACUCCUACGGGAGGCAGCAGUGAGGAAUAUUGCACAAUGGAGGAAACUCUGAUGCAGCAACGCCGCGUGGAGGAUGACGCAUUUCGGUGUGUAAACUCCUUUUAUAUGUCAAGAAAAUGACGGUAGCAUAUGAAUAAGCACCGGCUAACUCCGUGCCAGCAGCCGCGGUAAUACGGAGGGUGCAAGCGUUAUUCGGAAUCACUGGGCGUAAAGGACGCGUAGGCGGGAAGCCAAGUCUGAUGUGAAAUCCUAUGGCUUAACCAUAGAACUGCAUUGGAAACUGGUUGCCUAGAGUAUGGGAGGGGGAGAUGGAAUUAGUGGUGUAGGGGUAAAAUCCGUAGAUAUCACUAGGAAUACCGAAAGCGAAGGCGAUCUCCUGGAACAAUACUGACGCUAAGGCGUGAAAGCGUGGGGAGCAAACGGGAUUAGAUACCCCGGUAGUCCACGCCCUAAACGAUGUUCACUAGUCGUCGGAAUGCUAGUCAUUUCGGUGAUGCACUUAACAGAUUAAG
This 836-nucleotide ribosomal RNA is filed under the name bacterium endosymbiont of Osedax mucofloris. RNAcentral describes it as "bacterial SSU rRNA". It matches the Rfam family "Bacterial small subunit ribosomal RNA", at positions 8 to 864 of the family's 1533-position model. The record is from RNAcentral.